Molecule: ribosomal RNA, 481 nt
Filed under: uncultured bacterium
Lineage: Bacteria
Description: partial 16S ribosomal RNA
Rfam family: Bacterial small subunit ribosomal RNA
Source: RNAcentral
GACGAACGCUGGCGGCGUGCUUAACACAUGCAAGUCGAACAAUGAAGGAGAGCUUGCUCUCCGGAUUAGUGGCGAACGGGUGAGUAACACGUGACUAACCUGCCCCUUUCUCUGGGAUAACGCUCCGAAAGGAGUGCUAAUACCGGAUACGGACUCUGAACACAUGUUCGGAGUUGUCAAGUUUUUCGGAAAGGGAUGGAGUCGCGGCCUAUCAGCUUGUUGGGGAGGUAACGGCUCACCAAGGCGACGACGGGUAGCCGGCCUGAGAGGGCGACCGGCCACACUGGGACUGAGACACGGCCCAGACUCCUACGGGAGGCAGCAGUGGGGAAUAUUGCACAAUGGGCGAAAGCCUGAUGCAGCGACGCCGCGUGAGGGAUGAAGGUCUUCGGAUUGUAAACCUCUUUCAGUAGGGACGAAGCGAAAGUGACGGUACCUAAAGAAGAAGCACCGGCUAACUACGUGCCAGCAGCCGCAGUAA